GAUGAACGCUGGCGGCGUGCCUAAUACAUGCAAGUCGAGCGAACAGACGAGGAGCUUACUCCUCUGACGUUAGCGGCGGACGGGUGAGUAACACGUGGAUAACCUACCUAUAAGACUGGGAUAACUUCGGGAAACCGGAGCUAAUACCGGAUAACAUGUUGAACCGCAUGGUUCAACAGUGAAAGACGGUCUUGCUGUCACUUAUAGAUGGAUCCGCGUCGCAUUAGCUAGUUGGUAAGGUAACGGCUUACCAAGGCAACGAUGCGUAGCCGACCUGAGAGGGUGAUCGGCCACACGGGAACGGAGACACGGUCCAGACUCCUACGGGAGGCAGCAGUAGGGAAUCUUCCGCAAUGGGCGAAAGCCUGACGGAGCAACGCCGCGUGAGUGAAGAAGGUCUUCGGAUCGUAAAACUCUGUUAUUAGGGAAGAACAAAUGUGUAAGUAACUAUGCACGUCUUGACGGUACCUAAUCAGAAAGCCACGGCUAACUACGUG
This 497-nucleotide ribosomal RNA is filed under the name uncultured bacterium. Its description in RNAcentral is "partial 16S ribosomal RNA". It matches the Rfam family "Bacterial small subunit ribosomal RNA", at positions 28 to 507 of the family's 1533-position model. The record is from RNAcentral.